Molecule: long non-coding RNA, 512 nt
Organism: Rosa rugosa (rugosa rose)
Lineage: Eukaryota; Viridiplantae; Streptophyta; Magnoliopsida; Rosales; Rosaceae
Exons: 2
Source: RefSeq, a predicted model, not a curated record
GUGAGUCAUCAGUUUGGCUUUCUUUGUUAACUCGCGUUGAUUCUCUGCUUCUUUUUAUAUCUUGUAUACCCUUUCCCUUCCUCUUCAACUUCAUCACUUUCACACCUCUUCACUCUUUCAUUUUUCCUCUGAUUUCAAAAUCUGAGAGUCCCUGCACCCUUGAGUUUCAUUUUGUUAUAUUCACUUGGUUUGUUCUAAUCGGAGGAACUGGAAGAUGGAGCAACCAACUGUCUUAUGAAUCCAUAAAGGUUUAUAGUCAAACGUGGAGUUCCCCAUCUCAAUAGUUGGAUCGAUUCACUACAAGAUCUAGAGAAUUAAACAAGUUGUUGUGAAUAAGGUAGGCACGAAAUCAUCAAAUUUGGCAUGUUCCCCGAUAGAGAAAUGGAUUAUGAGCCCUUUGAAACGUGGAUUUCAUUUCAUAAAAUCAUGGAGAAAUGUAUUUGGUUGUAUGGAAUAGGUGGUGUGGGGAAGAAGACACUCGUCAAAGAAGUUUAUAGGCAAGCUACAAAAGG